GACGAACGCUGGCGGCGUGCUUAACACAUGCAAGUCGAACGGAAAGGCCCUGCUUUUGUGGGGUGCUCGAGUGGCGAACGGGUGAGUAACACGUGAGUAACCUGCCCUUGACUUUGGGAUAACUUCAGGAAACUGGGGCUAAUACCGGAUAGGAGCUCCUGCUGCAUGGUGGGGGUUGGAAAGUUUCGGCGGUUGGGGAUGGACUCGCGGCUUAUCAGCUUGUUGGGGGGGUAGUGGCUUACCAAGGCUUUGACGGGUAGCCGGCCUGAGAGGGUGACAGGCCACAUUGGGACUGGGAUGCGGCACAGACUCCUACGGGAGGCAGCAGUGGGGAAUAGUGUACAAUGGGCGGAAGCCUGAUGCAGCAACGCCGCGUGCGGGAUGACGGCCUUCGGGUUGUAAACCGCUUUCGCCUGUGACGAAGCGUGAGUGACGGUAAUGGGUAAAGAAGCACCGGCUAACUACGUG
Molecule: ribosomal RNA, 468 nt
Filed under: uncultured bacterium
Lineage: Bacteria
Description: partial 16S ribosomal RNA
Rfam family: Bacterial small subunit ribosomal RNA
Source: RNAcentral